Molecule: ribosomal RNA, 1080 nt
Filed under: Triticum aestivum (bread wheat)
Lineage: Eukaryota; Viridiplantae; Streptophyta; Magnoliopsida; Poales; Poaceae
Description: partial small subunit ribosomal RNA
Source: RNAcentral
AUGAGUAAUCACAAUCCGAGCAUCCUAAACUGGAAUGUGCGAGGACUGAAUUGCCCCAACCGUCGUGCAACCAUUAGAGAAACAAUUGCUGCCACACCCUGUCACAUUAUUUGCAUCCAAGAAUCGAAGAUGGCUGAUAUUGAUCAAUUUGUGGUGUCUUCACUGGGUGGUCUGCUUCACGGGAGCUUCGCCCAUCGUCCUGCUUCUGGUACUGGAGGGAUCCUAAUCCUGUGGGAUGAUGAUGUUGUCAAGCUUGCCAACAUUCAUUUUGGCCAAUUCACUUUGUCUGCCGAUGUUCAGCUUGCUAAUUCGUACGUUAUGUUCAAGCUAACUACAGUUUACGGCCCAACUAGGAGCAACCUCAAGGAUAUUUUCUUUCAGGAGCUCAUUAGCGAGAAGCCUAACGCUGGGUGUAUGUGGCUGGUUCUUGGGGGCUUCAAUCAAAUUUAUCAUGCCAGAGAUAAAAACCGCGCGAAUGCUAAUCGUAGCCGCAUCGUUCGCUUUCGCAACACCCUCAAUGCUUGCGAACUUAAGGAGAUCCAUCUACAAAACAGAAAGUUCACUUGGAGCAAUGAGCAGAGCGACCCAACUUUGAGUAAACUUGAUUCUUUCUUCUGCAAUGAGGAAUGGGACGUUGAGUUUGGGCAUUACAUUCUCCAUGCUCUUGCUUCAUCCCUCUCUGAUCACUGCCCGCUACUCCUUGCCAAUGACAAAGGGCCUCGUAGAACUAAAUCCUUCCGCUUCAAGAACUUUUGGAUCAACAUGCCAGGCUUCAUGGCCACUGUCCAGCAAGCAUGGAAUGAAGAGACAACCCAUGUCGAACCGUAUCAACUCCUCUUCCACAAGCUCAAGAAAACUAGCCAAAGGCUUCGUGCUUGGAGUAAAACCCUUUUCUCUCAUGCCAAGGUGCAACUCCAUAUGGCCUUGGAGAUUAUCCUACGUUUGGAUAUUGCCCAAGAAAAUAGAACUCUCAGCCAGGAUGAGAGAGAGCUUAGAAAGAGGCUUAAAAGGAAGGUAGUGAGUUUGGCCGUGCUUGAGAAGGCUCGCAAAAGGCAAAGUUCUAGGAUUACCAAUCUCAAA